UUGGUGAGGUAACGGCUCACCAAGGCUACGAUCUAUAGCUGGUCUGAGAGGAUGAUCAGCCACACUGGAACUGAGACACGGUCCAGACUCCUACGGGAGGCAGCAGUGGGGAAUAUUGCACAAUGGGCGCAAGCCUGAUGCAGCCAUGCCGCGUGAAUGAUGAAGGCCUUAGGGUUGUAAAAUUCUUUCGCCAGGGAUGAUAAUGUCA
Molecule: ribosomal RNA, 208 nt
Filed under: Chloropicon laureae
Lineage: Eukaryota; Viridiplantae; Chlorophyta; Chloropicophyceae; Chloropicales; Chloropicaceae
Description: partial Bacterial small subunit ribosomal RNA
Rfam family: Bacterial small subunit ribosomal RNA
Source: RNAcentral